AAACCAUGAUGAGGACACUGAUUGAUGUAGCUCUUAAAUCUUUCCCAUGCUUCCCCAAAGGUUUCAUUGUUGUGUUGGGUAAAGCUUGAGAUCUGAUUCCUCAGCUU
Molecule: small nucleolar RNA, 107 nt
Organism: Eutrema salsugineum
Lineage: Eukaryota; Viridiplantae; Streptophyta; Magnoliopsida; Brassicales; Brassicaceae
Rfam family: Plant small nucleolar RNA R71
About the family: R71 is a member of the C/D box family of snoRNAs containing the C (UGAUGA) and D (CUGA) box motifs. Multiple nearly identical copies of this snoRNA have been identified in Arabidopsis, and it is thought to function as a 2'-O-ribose methylation guide for 18S ribosomal RNA.
Source: Rfam